RNAcentral lists this ribosomal RNA (308 nucleotides) under Dinobdella ferox. RNAcentral describes it as "eukaryotic LSU rRNA". It matches the Rfam family "Eukaryotic large subunit ribosomal RNA", at positions 706 to 965 of the family's 3401-position model. Lineage: Eukaryota; Metazoa; Annelida; Clitellata; Hirudinida; Hirudinidae. The record is from RNAcentral.
ACCCGAAGGCGCAACGAAAGUGAACCGAAUCUUACGACUCGGUAGGUGGGAUCCAGUCGCGCGUCCCCGCUUGACCGCGGGCUCGUGCCGGCGGGCGCACCACCGGCCUGUCUCGGCCGCGACGUCGGCGAGGCGGAGCAAGAGCGUACGCGUUGGGACCCGAAAGAUGGUGAACUAUGCCUGAGCAGGAUGAAGCCAGAAGAAAUUCUGGUGGAGGUCCGUAGCGAUUCUGACGUGCAAAUCGAUCGUCAAACUUGGGUAUAGGGGCGAAAGACUAAUCGAACCAUCUAGUAGCUGUUCCUUCCGAA